RNAcentral lists this long non-coding RNA (274 nucleotides) under Mytilus galloprovincialis (Mediterranean mussel). The record is from RNAcentral. Lineage: Eukaryota; Metazoa; Mollusca; Bivalvia; Mytilida; Mytilidae.
UUCGCUUUGUACACUUAAUGACCUCAUCCGCCUACAUUUUUGAGAUCGGAAUUCUUAUAUAUGUAACAUAGAGUAGAUGAGCUUUCAUUUGAUAUGCGACAACGCCAUGUUCUAGAAAGUUUGAUUUUUGCACUUAAUAACCCUAUCUUACUAAUUUUUGGAGGUCAGGAAUUUGAUAUUUGAAAUGUACACAUCAUGACCUUUCAUUUGAUAUACAACAACCCUAUCUUAAAAGAAAAUUUAUGUUUUGCACUCAAUGACCCCAUCCAACCCA